RNAcentral lists this ribosomal RNA (450 nucleotides) under uncultured bacterium. RNAcentral describes it as "partial 16S ribosomal RNA". It matches the Rfam family "Bacterial small subunit ribosomal RNA", at positions 354 to 796 of the family's 1533-position model. The record is from RNAcentral.
GUGGGGAAUUUUGGACAAUGGGCGCAAGCCUGAUCCAGCAAUGCCGCGUGCAGGAUGAAGGCCUUCGGGUUGUAAACUGCUUUUGUACGGAACGAAAAGCCCUGGGUUAAUACCCUGGGGUCAUGACGGUACCGUAAGAAUAAGCACCGGCUAACUACGUGCCAGCAGCCGCGGUAAUACGUAGGGUGCGAGCGUUAAUCGGAAUUACUGGGCGUAAAGCGUGCGCAGGCGGUUUUGUAAGACAGAGGUGAAAUCCCCGGGCUCAACCUGGGAACUGCCUUUGUGACUGCAAGGCUAGAGUACGGCAGAGGGGGAUGGAAUUCCGCGUGUAGCAGUGAAAUGCGUAGAUAUGCGGAGGAACACCGAUGGCGAAGGCAAUCCCCUGGGCCUGCACUGACGCUCAUGCACGAAAGCGUGGGGAGCAAACAGGAUUAGAUACCCGAGUAGUCC